UACGAAGGGGGGCUAGCGUUGUUCGGAAUUACUGGGCGUAAAGCGCGCGCAGGCGGUCUUCCAAGUCAGUGGUGAAAGCCCGGAGCUCAACUCCGGAACUGCCAUUGAAACUGUUAGACUUGAGGAUGAGAGAGGUGAGUGGAAUUCCCAGUGUAGAGGUGAAAUUCGUAGAGAUCAGGAGGAACACCGGUGGCGAAGGCGGGUCUCUGGGCCGUAACUGACGCUGAGGAGCGAAAGCGUGGGGAGCGAACAGG
Molecule: ribosomal RNA, 254 nt
Filed under: uncultured bacterium
Lineage: Bacteria
Description: partial 16S ribosomal RNA
Rfam family: Bacterial small subunit ribosomal RNA
Source: RNAcentral